AAGUCCCAGUUCGGAUUGAAGGCUGAAAUUCGCCUUCAUGAAGCCGGAAUUGCUAGUAAUGGCAGGUCAGCAUACUGCUGUGAAUACGUUCCCGGGCCUUGUACACACCGCCCCGUCAUACCAUGAGAGCCGGGGGCGCCUGAAGUCCGGGACCGCGAGGACCGGCCUAGGGCGAAACUGGUAACUGGGGCUAAGUCGUAACAAGGUACC
This 210-nucleotide ribosomal RNA is filed under the name uncultured bacterium. RNAcentral's name for it is "partial 16S ribosomal RNA". It matches the Rfam family "Bacterial small subunit ribosomal RNA", at positions 1283 to 1500 of the family's 1533-position model. The record is from RNAcentral.